AACGAACGUUAGCGGCGCGCCUAACACAUGCAAGUCGCACGAGAAAGGGCUUCGGCCCCAGUAAAGUGGCGCACGGGUGAGUAACACGUGGGUAACCAACCCAAAAGCGGGGGACAACGUUCCGAAAGGAGCGCUAAUACCGCGUAAGACCACGACCACGUAAGUGGUUGAGGUAAAAGCAGGCCCCUUCUUGAAAGCUUGCGCUCUUGGACGGGCCCGCGUCCCAUCAGCUAGUUGGUAGGGUAAUGGCCUACCAAGGCUUAGACGGGUAACUGGUCUGAGAGGAUGAUCAGUCACACUGGAACUGAGACACGGUCCAGACUCCUACGGGAGGCAGCAGUGGGGAAUCUUGCGCAAUGGGCGAAAGCCUGACGCAGCGACGCCGCGUGAGUGAUGAAGGCCUUCGGGUUGUAAAGCUCUGUGGGGAGGAAAGAAUAAGUGUGUUCUAAUCAGCACAUGAUGACGGUACCUCCUUAGCAAGCACCGGCUAACUCUGUGCCAGCCGCCGCAGUAA
RNAcentral lists this ribosomal RNA (514 nucleotides) under uncultured bacterium. RNAcentral's name for it is "partial 16S ribosomal RNA". It matches the Rfam family "Bacterial small subunit ribosomal RNA", at positions 29 to 523 of the family's 1533-position model. The record is from RNAcentral.